CUGUUUGAUAUUUUGUAAUUGUUUGUUAUAUUUCAUUGUAUUUUAUGAGGGCCUCAGGGAAGAUUAGCUUUACAGCUAACUGUGUAACCCUCUUUAAAUAAAGAAUUAUUAUAUUAUUAUUAUUAUUAUUUCAUGAUGAAUGACACCUUAUAUUAUAAAAAAAUCAUGAGAUUUUUCUGUAAUUUUUCUCCCCACAAUAUAUUAAUCGUUUGUACUUGAUCUUCUUAGCUACUUAUUUUGUCUCAAAAUACUUUUUCAUUCCUCUAAUGUUUCUGUACAGUUGGAAGGCAAACGCCUGAAUCUGACAGAUAGAGGUCAAUUUGUCGACAAAAAAAGAACCCGUAUGUAAAAUGUUUACGCCCACAAACAGCGCCACCUAUAAUUUUUUCUACGGCAUCUUUGAGAACGAUGUCCCAUUCUGUAGUAAAUUAAAACAUUAAAUUAACUAAAACAUAGAAAAGUAAGUGUAAAACACAAAUUGAAAGAUAUAUUUGCAGAUGACUGUUUAUGCAUGAUACGCUGGCAAUGUGCGCAAUGUCCUUUAAUCCAAGACUGAAAAUUAGUUUGUUUCCUACGUCAAGAUGGCGGAUUUCAAUGUUUACAUUUUUGCACCUAUUUAUAAUCUGACAGAAUUUCGUAUCCAAUCAUUUAUUAGCAAUUUUAUUAUUGAUCUUUGAAGAUCAUCCAAUGGCAUUUGCCGUUAGAAAGUGGCUACACGUUACCAGCCGUCGUUACAAAGUAGCCAUGUGUUUUGUGGGGAUACCUUGGGAAUGUUGUGUAUUCAAAAGUUACGGUAAAAAUCAAUGUUAUCUUCCUUAUAUUUCCAUGCAUACACAAUUUAUAACAGCAAAUACAUUCUUAACAGACCCCAUAACGUAAACGGACAUAUUUAACUGUCUGCUUGAGCAAAAAUUCGUGUAAAUAAGCCUGAUGGGUCGUUUUCAAGAACAGCAGAAAAACACGUGGUAGAUUGUUUAUGUUUGACAGUUUGUUUACUUGAAUUGCACGUUGAUGUUACUAUAUACUUACCAAUAACCUUUAUCGUGUUAUACUUUCAAUAGUUAUAUAAUAAAUCUUACCCAAGAAAUACGUCUAGGUAGGUGCAGGGACUUCUUUUACUUGGUCCUUAACUAAUGAGGGUGUAAUGAUACAUUACAGCAUUUUUUGCAUUUGAUAUAUUUCAUGGACAUGUACAUUUUGUGUACACAAAGAACAAUAAAGUAAAUGAACGUACAUGGGUUUAAUUCCCACCCCUAGGAAUACAUUUUGACUCUCAUGACAGGUUGGAACAAAUAGAGCAGAUAGCAAUUGACAAUAAUGUAAUGCUAAAAUGCUGAUUGAUGGGGUCAAAUCAUCAACAUAAUUUUUUCUAGUAUACAGCAGCUCCUCUAAGGGUUAGUAAGGGUACUUUACUAAAAGUCCAGUGGCUAAGUCCUGUCUUUUUUGCCUCUGAUAUUUUCUAAUUUAUAUUAUAAUUUCUAAUAUUCUCUUGUGCAUGUAGUAAGGCAAAAGCUAUUGUUACUCUUAUUUUCCUCAUUUGCCUUAAAACAAUGGAAUGUAUUAAUUGUUGAUGUAUGUCAAGUGACUUGUAAUUUAACUGUCACUGCUAACAGAGACUUGGACUCUGGUGAUAAGUUUCCAGGCUGUUAUGUCAUUGGCAACUAUACCAUAAAUGUCAGUUUCCCCUUUAUAAGUUUUUAAGAAAAGAAUUUAAUUAUAAUAUAAUAAUAAGUUAAAAAAAAUUGUAAAAAGUUAAGCACAAGUGACAAAUCUAAUUGGCUUUUUAUUCAAGAAAACCUAGAGGCAUUGAAAAGUGACUGUGUUGCAAUUUAAAAUAAAUGGUUUGAACUCAGAAAGUUAUCAAUAUAUAUAGAGAGUACAGAUAAUGUUUUAAUUGGGCAUUUGGGAAUAUUUGCCUGUUAAUUGAAGAUAUAAUUAUUAUAUGCCUUUUCAAAUAUAUGUGUGGCUCUGAACUAGCUGUGGUUUAAAAUCUAAGAAUGGAGUUGGUUAUCUCCAUAUUUAUCUGAUUUAUAUCAACAUCAUUGAUCCAUUAUAUAUACACAUAUAUAAAUCAUUGUAAUACAUGUACAUUACUUUGCUCUUCAUAUGCCCUUUAAUUUGAAUAAAAAUAUCUUGUCUUAUACCACAAUUAUUUAUUUUUAGUACUGACAGGUUAACUUUUAAAAGCAUUUGUAAAGUAAGUGAGUUGAUGACAAGCUUAGUCAAUGAUUGUAAAUCCAGAUAAUAUCAUUUUUUUUUAUAAAAGUAAAUAAUGUGAUUAAACUGCAUGGUUAUCUCAAUUAAAAGAACUGACAUUCUGCUUUGAUACUAUGAGAUUAUUUCUGAUAUCAGAAUAAUAAAUUUCUUUUUGAACUUUGUCCUUUUUCAAAAAAAUUCUGAACAUACUGUAUUUUAAGUGAAGUCAGUUUUGUUUUUGUUUAAGACUACUAUAACAUGGGAGGUGACCACAAUCUCUAUGUUAUACAUUGAAGUAGUCUCAGGUUUUUGUAGUCCAAUUGACUAUCUAUUUUAGUGCAGGUAAAUGUGAAUUUGGAUUAAAUUUGAAGUUGAUUCAGUAUAUCUAAUGACAUAAUACCACUAUUUUAUUUCAACUAAGCAUUUUCAAAUUUUAUUUACUGGUCAGCUGAUGUUAUUAUCCAAUCAAUAAUUGAUUAUCAAGCACUUAACAGUUGGUUGCAGGACUUUUGAAUUCAAUUAUAAGAAAGAAGAAAAAAUAUAAAGCAAAACUUCAAAAUAUUAUACAUAUAACAGGAUUUAUGAUAACUGCAGGAUAUAUCAGAUUACAAUACAGCUUUUGUUCAGUGAUCUUUGUGUUGAUUAUUAUGUUUUAAAUCCCUUUCUGGUUCUUUGAAUGUUCAGAUUUUUUCUCUUGAUUAAGGCAAGCAACAGAACUUGUACAACUUAUGUAGUUUCUUAUCUCAGGGUGAAUCCAGAAAAUUUUAAACAUAAGUGGUGGUAUUCUCAACCAAGGAUAAAAAGGAGGGUUCCAACUAUAUGCAUGAUCCCAUUCAAAUGCAUUAAUCUUCCAUAAAAAGAGGAGGUUCCAAUCAUCAGACUCCCUGAGAUCUGCAACUGUAUCUUAAAGCAGCUAUAAUAAAACAAAAUUGUACAUGUACUUCUGGCUACUUCAGAUUGAUUUUAUUUUCAAUCUAUGGUAAUGGUCACAAUUUUGAAGACUAUAUACAUGUAUUUCCUUUUUCCCCAUAUUUUUGUUUAAAUGUAAUCUUCUGCUUCUGCUUCUAUUGUUACACAGGUUCUUCUGACAAAUGACUGAUAAACCCAUCUUGUAUCCUUCUACUAAAAGGGGUGUUUGAGAAUAUAUAUACAAUAUAUUCAAGUUUCAGAGAGUCAGUCUGAUAUAAAAUGUUGGUAAGUGUCUUCUUUGGAAGUGUUCAAAAACCUGUAAGAACUUGAACUUCCAUGACUAUUUUAAUGUUACAACAGUAGAGGAACAUGGAAUAUUGAAAGGUAUUCAAGAACUCGUCGAAAUAGAUCUGCAAUCAUUAAUUUUACUCAUAUUUACUAUUGUGAACUUGCAAUUUCCUACGAUGCGCGUACCGAGUUAUCUCCCUUUGAUCUCCGCUUCGCCACGAAUAAUCUGACAGAAUUGCGUAUCCGGGGUUUUUGUGAUCUAAUAUUGUACUAUUAGAAGCAAAAAAAUGGUUUUACUUCAUAUUUUAUACCUCUCAACACGUUACCAAACCUAUUUAAGGAUUUAUUAAGGAUUUUCCGUGGACCUACGCAAAUUUUCAGAAAAAAAGUUUCACUUCGCUCGUGAAUUUAUAACAUUUUUAACAAUACUUUUUUAUUAUAAAUUAUAUAAAAAUAAGAAAGCUUAUUCAAUCUAGAAUUGAACACUUUGGUUUUUAUUAAUGUACGAGUACAAAUAAGACGAUACGAGUCCAAAAACCACGAGGCAUGCACGUUCACAAAAAAAUCGUAAACUCUGACCUUUUAUCACGUGACCAAUGUCUUGAACUUAGAAGCCAUUAAAUCGUUUGCCGUUCAACAGGUAUUUGGUGGCAGAAGAUAACGGUUGUACAUUGUACUUUCACUUUUGU
RNAcentral lists this long non-coding RNA (4082 nucleotides) under Mytilus galloprovincialis (Mediterranean mussel). Lineage: Eukaryota; Metazoa; Mollusca; Bivalvia; Mytilida; Mytilidae. The record is from RNAcentral.